GAAUCAAUUGUAUGACCUUGAAAUUGACAAGAUAAACAAGCCAUUUCUUCCAUUGCCAUCUGGGGCAUUUUCCUUUAAAACUGGGGUCAUUGUUACUGCGUCAUCUGCAAUCCUGGGUUUCUUUACCAGCUAUUUGAUAGGUUCAUGGCCAUUAUUUUGGGGUCUUCU
Molecule: long non-coding RNA, 168 nt
Organism: Vigna radiata var. radiata (mung bean)
Lineage: Eukaryota; Viridiplantae; Streptophyta; Magnoliopsida; Fabales; Fabaceae
Exons: 3
Source: RefSeq, a predicted model, not a curated record